CCUACGGGUGGCAGCAGUGAGGAAUAUUGGUCAAUGGCCGGAAGGCUGAACCAGCCAUGCCGCGUGAAGGUCAGUGCCCUAUGGGCGUUAAACUUCUUUUGUGCGGGAGCAAUAAUGGUCACGUGUGGCCAGACGAGAGUACCGUACGAAUAAGCAUCGGAUAACUCUGUGCCAGCAGCCGCGGUAAUACGGGGGAUGCAAGCGUUAUCCGGAUUUACUGGGUGUAAAGGGGGCGCAGACGGCAAUGCAAGCCAGGAGUGAAAGCCCGGGGCCCAACCCCGGGACUGCUCUUGGAACUGCAUGGCUGGAGUACAGGAGAGGCAGGCGGAAUUCCUAGUGUAGCGGUGAAAUGCGUAGAUAUUAGGAGGAACACCAGUGGCGAAGGCGGCCUGCUGGACUGUGACUGACGUUGAGGCCCGAAGGCGUGGGGAGCAAACAGGAUUAGAUACCCCAGUAGUC
This 459-nucleotide ribosomal RNA is filed under the name uncultured bacterium. RNAcentral's name for it is "partial 16S ribosomal RNA". It matches the Rfam family "Bacterial small subunit ribosomal RNA", at positions 338 to 795 of the family's 1533-position model. The record is from RNAcentral.